GUGCCAGCCGCCGCGGUAAUACGUAGGGGGCGAGCGUUGUCCGGAAUGACUGGGCGUAAAGCGCGCGCAGGCGGUUUUCUACGUCUGGGGUGAAAGCCCGGGGCUCAACUCCGGGACGGCCUUGGAAACGGGGAGACUUGAGGGUCGGAGAGGCAAGGGGAAUUCCACGUGUAGCGGUGAAAUGCGUAGAGAUGUGGAGGAACACCAGUGGCGAAGGCGCCUUGCUGGACGAAACCUGACGCUGAGGCGCGAAGGCGUGGGGAGCAAACAGGAUUAGAUACCCUGGUAGUCCACGCGGUAAACGAUGCGUGCCAGGUGUCGGAGGGUACCACCUCCGGUGCCGAAGGAAACCCAAUAAGCACGCCGCCUGGGGAGUACGGUCGCAAGACUGAAACUCAAAGGAAUUGACGGGGGCCCGCACAAGCAGUGGAGCAUGUGGUUUAAUUCGAAGCAACGCGAAGAACCUUACCAGGGCUUGACAUCGGUUGGACGGGCCGGGAGACCGGUCUUCCCGCAAGGGCCAACGGACAGGUGGUGCAUGGUUGUCGUCAGCUCGUGUCGUGAGAUGUUGGGUUAAGUCCCGCAACGAGCGCAACCCUUGAUCGAUGUUGCCAGCACGCAGCGGUGGGGACUCAUCGAUGACUGCCGGUGACAAACCGGAGGAAGGCGGGGAUGACGUCAAAUCAUCAUGCCCCUGAUGUCCUGGGCGACACACGUGCUACAAUGGGCGGGACAACGGGAGGCGAAGGCGCGAGCCGGAGCGAACCCCUUAAAGCCGUUCGUAGUUCGGAUUGCAGGCUGCAACUCGCCUGCAUGAAGCCGGAAUUGCUAGUAAUCGCGGAUCAGCAUGCCGCGGUGAAUCCGUUCCCGGGGCCUUUGUACACACCGCCCGUCACACCACGAGAGUGGGUAACACCCGAAGUCGGGGAGGUAACCCGCAAGGGGGCCAGCCGCCGAAGGUGGGAUUCGCGAUGGGGGUGAAGUCGUAACAAGGUAACC
RNAcentral lists this ribosomal RNA (999 nucleotides) under uncultured bacterium. RNAcentral describes it as "bacterial SSU rRNA". It matches the Rfam family "Bacterial small subunit ribosomal RNA", at positions 505 to 1501 of the family's 1533-position model. The record is from RNAcentral.